GCCGAAGUGGCGGAAUGGCAGACGCUGCGGACUUAAACUCCGCUGCCCGCAAGGGCGUCAGGGUUCGAAUCCCUGCUUCGGCACCA
Molecule: transfer RNA, 86 nt
Filed under: Chloroflexota bacterium
Lineage: Bacteria; Bacillati; Chloroflexota
Also listed under: 2 other names
Description: Chloroflexi bacterium tRNA-Leu
Rfam family: tRNA
About the family: Transfer RNA (tRNA) molecules are approximately 80 nucleotides in length.
Source: RNAcentral